AGAUUGAACGCUGGCGGCAUGCUUUACACAUGCAAGUCGAGCGGCAGCGCGGGGGCAACCCUGGCGGCGAGCGGCGAACGGGUGAGUAAUGCAUCGGAACGUGUCCCGUGGUGGGGGAUAACCCGGCGAAAGCCGGGCUAAUACCGCAUAUGCUCUGAGGAGGAAAGGGGGGGAUCCGCAAGGACCUCACGCCAUGGGAGCGGCCGAUGUCCGAUUAGCUUGUUGGUGGGGUAAUGGCUUACCAAGGCGACGAUCGGUAGCUGGUCUGAGAGGAUGAUCAGCCACACUGGGACUGAGACACGGCCCAGACUCCUACGGGAGCAGCAGUGGGGAAUUUGGACAAGUGGGGGCAA
RNAcentral lists this ribosomal RNA (353 nucleotides) under uncultured soil bacterium. Its description in RNAcentral is "bacterial SSU rRNA". It matches the Rfam family "Bacterial small subunit ribosomal RNA", at positions 26 to 380 of the family's 1533-position model. The record is from RNAcentral.